UACGGAGGGUGCAAGCGUUAAUCGGAAUUACUGGGCGUAAAGCGCAUGUAGGCGGUGUGGCGAGUUAGGGGGAAAUGCAAGGGCUCAACCUUGGAACUGCCUCUAAAACUACCAUGCUUGAGUGCGAGAGAGGACGGCGGAAUUCCAGGUGUAGGAGUGAAAUCCGUAGAUAUCUGGAAGAACAUCAGUGGCGAAGGCGGCUGUCUGGCUCGUAACUGACGCUGAGAUGCGAAAGCGUGGGUAGCAAACA
RNAcentral lists this ribosomal RNA (250 nucleotides) under uncultured prokaryote. RNAcentral describes it as "partial 16S ribosomal RNA". It matches the Rfam family "Bacterial small subunit ribosomal RNA", at positions 524 to 774 of the family's 1533-position model. The record is from RNAcentral.